RNAcentral lists this ribosomal RNA (429 nucleotides) under Acidobacteriota bacterium. RNAcentral describes it as "Acidobacteria bacterium partial 16S ribosomal RNA". It matches the Rfam family "Bacterial small subunit ribosomal RNA", at positions 355 to 776 of the family's 1533-position model. The record is from RNAcentral. Lineage: Bacteria; Pseudomonadati; Acidobacteriota.
UGGGGAAUUUUGGACAAUGGGCGAAAGCCUGAUCCAGCAAUGCCGCGUGUGUGAAGAAGGCCUUCGGGUUGUAAAGCACUUUUGUCCGGAAAGAAAACGCCGUGGUUAAUACCCGUGGCGGAUGACGGUACCGGAAGAAUAAGCACAGGCUAACUACGUGCCAGCAGCCGCGGUAAUACGUAGGGUGCAAGCGUUAAUCGGAAUUACUGGGCGUAAAGCGUGCGCAGGCGGUCCGCUAAGACAGAUGUGAAAUCCCCGGGCUUAACCUGGGAACUGCAUUUGUGACUGGCGGGCUAGAGUAUGGCAGAGGGGGGUAGAAUUCCACGUGUAGCAGUGAAAUGCGUAGAGAUGUGGAGGAAUACCGAUGGCGAAGGCAGCCCCCUGGGCCAAUACUGACGCUCAUGCACGAAAGCGUGGGGAGCAAACAGG